RNAcentral lists this ribosomal RNA (460 nucleotides) under uncultured bacterium. RNAcentral describes it as "partial 16S ribosomal RNA". It matches the Rfam family "Bacterial small subunit ribosomal RNA", at positions 338 to 795 of the family's 1533-position model. The record is from RNAcentral.
CCUACGGGUGGCUGCAGUGAGGAAUAUUGGUCAAUGGACGAGAGUCUGAACCAGCCAAGUCGCGUGAAGGAUGACUGCCCUAUGGGUUGUAAACUUUUUUUAUAUGGGAAUAAAACAGGGUAUGCAUACCCUCUUGUAUGUACCAUAUGAAUAAGGAUCGGCUAACUCCGUGCCAGCAGCCGCGGUAAUACGGAGGUUCCGAGCGUUAUCCGGAUUUAUUGGGUUUAAAGGGAGCGUAGGUGGAUGGUUAAGUCAGAUGUGAAAGUUUGCGGCUCAACCGUAAAAUUGCAGUUGAAACUGGCAGGCUAGAGUACAGUAGAGGUGGGCAGAAUUCGUGGUGUAGCGGUGAAAUGCGUAGAUAUCACGAAGAACUCCGAUGGCGAAGGCAGCUCACUGGACUACAACUGACACUGAUGCUCGAAAGUGUGGGUAUCAAACAGGAUUAGAUACCCCGGUAGUC